This 677-nucleotide ribosomal RNA is filed under the name uncultured bacterium. Its description in RNAcentral is "bacterial SSU rRNA". It matches the Rfam family "Bacterial small subunit ribosomal RNA", at positions 28 to 749 of the family's 1533-position model. The record is from RNAcentral.
GACGAACGCUGGCGGUAUGCCUAACACAUGCAAGUCGAACGGACUCUUCGGAGUUAGUGGCGGACGGGUGAGUAACGCGUGAGAAUCUGGCUUCUGGUUCGGGAUAACAGUGGGAAACGACUGCUAAUACCGGAUGUGCCUGCGGGUAAAAGGUUUGCUGCCAAAAGAUGAGCUCGCGUCUGAUUAGCUAGUUGGUGGGGUAAGAGCCCACCAAGGCGACGAUCAGUAGCUGGUCUGAGAGGAUGAUCAGCCACACUGGGACUGAGACACGGCCCAGACUCCUACGGGAGGCAGCAGUGGGGAAUUUUCCGCAAUGGGCGAAAGCCUGACGGAGCAAUACCGCGUGAGGGAAGAAGGCUCUUGGGUUGUAAACCUCUUUUCUCAGGGAAUAAGAAAGUGAAAGUACCUGAGGAAUCAGCAUCGGCUAACUCCGUGCCAGCAGCCGCGGUAAUACGGAGGAUGCAAGCGUUAUCCGGAAUGAUUGGGCGUAAAGCGUCCGCAGGUGGUUAUUCAAGUCUGCCGUUAAAGAGUCUGGCUUAACCAGAUAAAGGCGGUGGAAACUGAAAGACUAGAGUGCGGUAGGGGCAGAGGGAAUUCCCAGUGUAGCGGUGAAAUGCGUAGAGAUUGAGAAGAACACCGGUGGCGAAAGCGCUCUGCUACGCCGCAACUGACACUCA